Molecule: long non-coding RNA, 976 nt
Organism: Gasterosteus aculeatus aculeatus (three-spined stickleback)
Lineage: Eukaryota; Metazoa; Chordata; Actinopteri; Perciformes; Gasterosteidae
Source: Ensembl
CCCCCCCCCCCCCCCCCACAUGCUCCUGUCUGGCUGAUUUACUUAUUUCCGAAAUUCCCUCCGACUGUGAAGGGAUGAUGACACGUACACGGGGAGAAUUUGGCCAAAUUGCCUUCAGCUUGGCCACAUCGCGGCCGUCUGAGCCGCCCGACUGCCACGCGAGGCCCGAAAACACAUGUUAUCUCUCGCUAAUCAAGAGCAAUGGCCUCAAUGUCGAGCCGCCGCACGGCUCUGACCUUUCCACAAUGCUAAUUAUUCUGGAUUUUCUCUCCUUUUCCUCGUGCUCCUUCCCCAGAAGAAGAAAGAAAUGUGAAGCGGCGCAGCGCCAGUCAAUUCCACGGAGGCCGAGUCGUACAUCAUCUUUUGAGUGUAUGGAUUUCUAAUAUCCCGCUACAGCAGUCGAGAUGAUGUAACAGAUAUGGACUCUGAGCACUUACCAAAUAGAUUCCUUAAGGAUAUUCAAAGUGGCUGCAGAGAGACGUUUGAUCAGACUAUUAAAAUGGAUCACCUCAUACACCUUGAAGUGUACUGUGAAAUAUCAAAAGCCCCGCUGGGGGUAAUUAAGGACAUUACGGCGUCCGUUGGUGACCAGUGGAAAGAAGAAUGAAAAACGACUGCUGUUUCUCCUGUUUACACACAAAUGAGUCAAAUCACAGCGACGGAGCUCACGAAAGACGUCUCGACCACUCGUUGGUCCAGGGUUCCCUGGUCCAUGGUUCACUGGUCCAUGGUUCACUGGUCCAUGGUUCACUGGUCCAGGGUUCCCUGGUCCUGUGGUUCCCUGGUCCUGUGGUUCACUGGUCCAUGGUUCACUGGUCCUGUGGUUCCCUGGUCCAUGGUUCACUGGUCCAUGGUUCACUGGUCCAUGGUUCACUGGUCCUGUGGUUCACUGGUCCAGGGGUUCACUGGUCCAUGGUUCACUGGUCCAUAGAUCACUGGUCCAUGGUUCACUGGUCCAGGGUUCACUGGUCCAGGG